Molecule: ribosomal RNA, 239 nt
Filed under: uncultured eukaryote
Lineage: Eukaryota
Description: partial 18S ribosomal RNA
Rfam family: Eukaryotic small subunit ribosomal RNA
Source: RNAcentral
GGGAACCUCACCCGGCCCGGACACCGCGAGGAUUGACAGACUGAGAGCUCUUUCUCGAUUCGGUGGGUGGUGGUGCAUGGCCGUUCUUAGUUGGUGGAGCGAUCUGUCUGUUAAUUCCGAUAACGAACGAGACCCCAACCUGCUAACUAGCCCUCGGGUCCUGCUUCUGUUGGGCCCGACGGAAUGAUUCGCUUCUUAGAGGGACUCGCGGCGCCUAGCCGCACGAAGGGGGGCGAUAA